Molecule: ribosomal RNA, 412 nt
Filed under: uncultured bacterium
Lineage: Bacteria
Description: bacterial SSU rRNA
Rfam family: Bacterial small subunit ribosomal RNA
Source: RNAcentral
AGCGAACGUUAGCGGCGGGCUUAACACAUGCAAGUCGAACGCGAAAGGGAUUCGUCCCCAGUAGCGUGGCGUCCGGGUGAGUAACACGUAGGAAACCUUGCCUAGAGUGGGGAGUAACGUCCCGAAGGGACGCUAAUACCGCAUAAGCCCACGUCGGCCUCGGCCGAUGCGGGAAAAGAUGGCCUCUGAAUUCAAGCUAUCGCUCAAGGAUGGUCCUGCGGCGCAUCAGCUAGUUGGUGAGGUAAUGGCUCACCAAGGCAAUGAUGCGUAGGGGGUGUGAGAGCAUGGCCCCCACCACUGGCACUGAGACACUGGCCAGACACCUACGGGUGGCUGCAGUCGAGAAUAUUCCCCAAUGGCCGAAAGGCUGAGGGAGCGACGCCGCGUGCAGGAAUAAGGCCUCGGUCGUAAC